AUUUUUUUAAUCUUUUUCAUAUUGAAACAACUUCUUGCUCUUUUCUUCUGUUUUGUACUUCCACAUACUUUUGGUUUGUUUUCCAUUCAUAUGCUGGGAUGGCUUUUCCAAGUACCUGAGCACUACUAUGAAGCAGUAACACAGCCAUUGGAGGCUGCAUAAAGGCAUUAAUAGUGUAGCUGUGGAAAGAAGCAUCUGUCCCUAGUUUCCCCCCUAGUUGCUUCUUCCCUUGAAGAAGGAUGAAUGACAUGUUUUGAAGCCCACUCUGUGGCCAUGUGGCAUAAGUCUGGAAUAUCCUCUAGGAUUUGUCUCCUAGGCAGAGGCCACGUGCAUUUUAGCUGUGUCACUGCUGCCUCCCUUUAACCUACUGAAAUAGCAGAUUGUCCCAACAACCACAGCUCAGUUUUGUGUUACAAAAAUGAGUUGACUUGCAUGAGAAAAGUGCCCAGAAUGCAUGCAGAGCUGUGCAUUGCAGGACCAGUUGUGGCACUCGUGGCUGAAGAGUGAAGUUACUUGGUGGUGUAGAGAGACACACUGAGAACAAGCCAGUCUGGUUUCUUCACUCUUGACUUGUAAGUGUUCUUGUUGCUUUAGAAGGCUUCUAGACAUCUACAGCUGAAGAGGUUUUUUUUCAUUGCCAGUGUUACUGCCACAGACAUAGAAAUGGUGUCAGAGGAAGAUGAUGCUGAGGAGGUGCCAGAACUUCAGGUGACAGGGAAAAUUGGAGCAAAAAAGCAGAGGAAAUUAGAAGAGAAACAAGCCAGAAAAGCUCAGAGAGAGGUAAGCAUUCCUAUCCCUGCCACGUACAAAGCUCAGAGCAAAACCUAAACAGUGAUACU
RNAcentral lists this long non-coding RNA (839 nucleotides) under Chrysolophus pictus (golden pheasant). Its description in RNAcentral is "lncRNA (ENSCPIG00010001689.1)". Lineage: Eukaryota; Metazoa; Chordata; Aves; Galliformes; Phasianidae. The record is from RNAcentral.